AACGAACGCUGGCGGCAGGCCUAACACAUGCAAGUCGAGCGAAGGACUUCGGUCCUUAGCGGCGGACGGGUGAGUAACACGUGGGAACGUGCCCAAAGGUACGGAACAACAGUUGGAAACGACUGCUAAUACCGUAUGUGCCCUACGGGGGAAAGAUUUAUCGCCUUUGGAUCGGCCCGCGUCUGAUUAGGUAGUUGGUGGGGUAAUGGCCUACCAAGCCGACGAUCAGUAGCUGGUUUGAGAGGACGAUCAGCCACACUGGGACUGAGACACGGCCCAG
Molecule: ribosomal RNA, 280 nt
Filed under: uncultured bacterium
Lineage: Bacteria
Description: partial 16S ribosomal RNA
Rfam family: Bacterial small subunit ribosomal RNA
Source: RNAcentral